UACGUAGGGUGCGAGCGUUAAUCGGAAUUACUGGGCGUAAAGCGUGCGCAGGCGGUUGUGUAAGACAGAUGUGAAAUCCCCGGGCUCAACCUGGGAACUGCAUUUGUGACUGCACAGCUGGUGUGCGGCAGAGGGGGAUGGAAUUCCGCGUGUAGCAGUGAAAUGCGUAGAUAUGCGGAGGAACACCGGUGGCGAAGGCGGCAUCCUGGACCGAGAUUGACGCUGAGGCGCGAAAGCCAGGGGAGCAAACGGG
RNAcentral lists this ribosomal RNA (253 nucleotides) under uncultured bacterium. RNAcentral's name for it is "partial 16S ribosomal RNA". It matches the Rfam family "Bacterial small subunit ribosomal RNA", at positions 524 to 776 of the family's 1533-position model. The record is from RNAcentral.